GAUGAACGCUGGCGGCGUGCCUAAUACAUGCAAGUCGAACGCUGGAACUCUAGCUUGCUAGAUUGAAGGAGUGGCGAACGGGUGAGUAAUACAUAAGCAACCUACCCACGAAGACUGGGAUAAUCUCUGGAAACGGGGACUAAUACCGGAUAGGUAAUCGGAAGGCAUCUUCUGAUUAUUAAAGGUUAAAAACACUGGUGGAUGGGCUUAUGGCGCAUUAGUUAGUUGGUGAGGUAACGGCCCACCAAGACGAUGAUGCGUAGCCGGCCUGAGAGGGUGAACGGCCACAUUGGGACUGAGACACGGCCCAGACUCCUACGGGAGGCAGCAGUAGGGAAUUUUCGGCAAUGGGGGAAACCCUGACCGAGCAACGCCGCGUGAGUGAUGACGGCCUUCGGGGUGUAAAGCUCUGUUGUAAGGGAAGAACGGUAGAUAGAGAAUAUCUAAAUGACGGUACCUGACCAGAAAGCCACGGCUAACUACGUG
Molecule: ribosomal RNA, 486 nt
Filed under: uncultured bacterium
Lineage: Bacteria
Description: partial 16S ribosomal RNA
Rfam family: Bacterial small subunit ribosomal RNA
Source: RNAcentral